UAGAUACCCUAUUAUUUUAAAUGUAAAUAUAUUAUGUUUUUGAGUAGUAAUAGUUAUGAUCUUGAAACUCAAAGAAUGUGGCGGUAUUUUAGUCCUUUCAGAGGAAUCUGUUCCGUUAUUGAUAAUACACAAUUAACUUUACUUAGUUUUGUAAUUUCAGUUUGUAUACCGCCGUCAUCAGUUUAUCUUUUGAAGGGUAAAAUUUUCUUUAAAUUUUAUUAUAUUAUAUGUCAGGUCAAGGUGCAGCUAAUAAUUAAGUGGGAAAUGGAUUACAAUAAAUUUUAUUUAUAUGGAUUUUUUUAUUGAAAAUUGGAUUGAAGGUGGAUUUGAAGGUAAUUUUAUUAAUUUAAUUAAUUUGAUUAUGGCUCUAGAAUAUGUACACAUCGCCGGUCGCUCUU
RNAcentral lists this ribosomal RNA (398 nucleotides) under Rhaphidophora sp. PHI2. RNAcentral's name for it is "partial 12S ribosomal RNA". The record is from RNAcentral. Lineage: Eukaryota; Metazoa; Arthropoda; Insecta; Orthoptera; Rhaphidophoridae.